GCAAGUCGAACGAGAAAGUCACUUCGGUGGCGAGUAGAGUGGCGCACGGGUGAGUAAAACGUAGGUAACCUGCCUCUUUGUGGGGGAUAACUCGGAGAAAUUCGGGCUAAUACCGCAUACGAAGUACAAUUUUGAAAGUAGUACUUGAAAGACUACCUAUAUACUAUGCUGUUGCUAAGAGAUGGGCCUGCGGGACAUUAGCUAGAUGGUGGGGUAACGGCCUACCAUGGCGACGAUGUCUAGCUGGUCUGAGAGGAUGAUC
This 262-nucleotide ribosomal RNA is filed under the name uncultured bacterium. RNAcentral describes it as "partial 16S ribosomal RNA". It matches the Rfam family "Bacterial small subunit ribosomal RNA", at positions 57 to 305 of the family's 1533-position model. The record is from RNAcentral.